This 686-nucleotide ribosomal RNA is filed under the name Escherichia coli. RNAcentral's name for it is "partial 23S ribosomal RNA". It matches the Rfam family "Bacterial large subunit ribosomal RNA", at positions 1200 to 1869 of the family's 2925-position model. Lineage: Bacteria; Pseudomonadati; Pseudomonadota; Gammaproteobacteria; Enterobacterales; Enterobacteriaceae. The record is from RNAcentral.
CUGCGGCAGCGACGCUUAUGCGUUGUUGGGUAGGGGAGCGUUCUGUAAGCCUGUGAAGGUGUACUGUGAGGUAUGCUGGAGGUAUCAGAAGUGCGAAUGCUGACAUAAGUAACGAUAAAGCGGGUGAAAAGCCCGCUCGCCGGAAGACCAAGGGUUCCUGUCCAACGUUAAUCGGGGCAGGGUGAGUCGACCCCUAAGGCGAGGCCGAAAGGCGUAGUCGAUGGAAAACAGGUUAAUAUUCCUGUACUUGGUGUUACUGCGAAGGGGGGACGGAGAAGGCUAUGUUGGCCGGGCGACGGUUGUCCCGGUUUAAGCGUGUAGGCUGGUUUUCCAGGCAAAUCCGGAAAAUCAAGGCUGAGGCGUGAUGACGAGGCACUACGGUGCUGAAGCAACAAAUGCCCUGCUUCCAGGAAAAGCCUCUAAGCAUCAGGUAACAUCAAAUCGUACCCCAAACCGACACAGGUGGUCAGGUAGAGAAUACCAAGGCGCUUGAGAGAACUCGGGUGAAGGAACUAGGCAAAAUGGUGCCGUAACUUCGGGAGAAGGCACGCUGAUAUGUAGGUGAAGCGACUUGCUCGUGGAGCUGAAAUCAGUCGAAGAUACCAGCUGGCUGCAACUGUUUAUUAAAAACACAGCACUGUGCAAACACGAAAGUGGACGUAUACGGUGUGACGCCUGCCCGGUGC